GGAGCAUUUUAGAGCAUAUUCAUAGUUUGUGGGAAAAACACCACAGAUAUAUACCGUAUAGUCAUCUAACCGAUCCACACUGAAUGUUCUGUGUUUCGGCUAUGGUUAAUAAGGCGGCCAGAAGACGAAGAUACCCUCAGGUUAAAGUACAAGUUUUAUAAAUUCUCUAUGCCAUGACGAAAUAUGUUUCUUAAAUUUCGACGACGAUCCAGCGGUUGCAAAAGUAGGCGGUUCGGAAGAGGUUACGGUCGUCCGGUUGAUCUAACGAAACCGGGCCAUCAAAUGCAUUACAUACAUUCGAAUACCGCCUGUCUAACUCGUCGAGUAACACCACACGAUCACUUCGAGUGAACGACACGACUCUCACCGACGAGCCCACUAGUGACUUGUUGGCCAUGCAAAGCAUUACUGAAUACUCUGACAACAGUACUCGUCGUGUACCGCCGCUCGGUUUUCCCCCGAGUGAGCGCUCGACUGUUUCCGUCCAACUUCGGCCCACCUGCACUCUAGCACGACGGCACGGCACAUAGUGCCGUAGCUUCGUCGCAUCGAGCCCUUUACUUCUCCUCGUGUCUAUCUUCGAAUCGCUUGCCACUAUCUUCUUACAUAAAACUUGCGUUUUUUCUGUAUUAAAAAAUCAGUGUAUCCACGCUACGAAUUACACCGAAGUAGGAAAAUAGCGUAAAAAUAAAAUUGCUCCUACUGAUUUCUGCUAUCGUAACUUUUAUUAAAACAAACUGAAUUAUUUUUGAUUCGUAUCGAUCGUUAUAUAACGUAUAUACUACGCGUAGGGAUUUACGUUACAUUAUCAUUGUAUCGUAGGAAAUUGAUAUUUCCUAAUGUCGGUG
Molecule: unclassified non-coding RNA, 848 nt
Filed under: Bombus terrestris (buff-tailed bumblebee)
Lineage: Eukaryota; Metazoa; Arthropoda; Insecta; Hymenoptera; Apidae
Description: misc RNA ENSBTSG00005026762.1
Source: RNAcentral